Molecule: ribosomal RNA, 253 nt
Filed under: uncultured bacterium
Lineage: Bacteria
Description: partial 16S ribosomal RNA
Rfam family: Bacterial small subunit ribosomal RNA
Source: RNAcentral
UACGUAGGGAGCAAGCGUUGUCCGGAAUCAUUGGGCGUAAAGCGCGCGUAGGUGGCUUCGUAAGUCCGUUGUGAAAGUCAAAGGCUCAACCUUUGAAAGCCGAUGGAUACUGUGAAGCUAGAGUACGGAAGAGGCGAAUGGAAUUCCUGGUGUAGCGGUGGAAUGCGCAGAUAUCAGGAGGAACACCAAUAGCGAAGGCAGCUCGCUGGGACGUUACUGACACUGAGGCGCGAAAGCGUGGGGAGCAAACAGG